UUUAGGUUACAUUACACUAAAUCAUUGUGUAUCCCUCCGUGGUCCAUUCGAAAGUAGUGCCUAUUUCUAAAGAGUUCCUUUUCUCUUCUUGAAUAUAAGCCAUUUAACAAUGUGAGACAUGUCUUUUGUGGUUAUUUGUAAUAUCCUGUAUGUGUCUGGAGUACUUUGAUGCCUUGGAUUGGAAGCUAACUUAAAAGAUGAACUUUUGAGGGUGUGUUUUCUAUUGUGUGGGGCUUUUGUCGAAAUUAGGAUUCCGAAACGCGUUUUUCUACGGUGGGUUCAUUCGACAGCGAUUUACUUUCUUAGAAGUUGCGAGACGGUAUGUUUUUGCUUGCAAUUAUUGGAAGAUGACAGAUCCAUCUUUAAAAUUAUAGCAGGUUCGGAAAAAUUGAUACGUCGGAAAGGCAAUAAAAAUGCUGUGAAAGUUGUCAGUUUUAUAAUGGGACCCUAUGGGAAUCGGAAUUAGUGUAAUAUAACCUUUAAAAAGCACAUUAACUGCAAUGUCAAGGUCACAUGGAUUCGUCUGCAAGCGAGACAAGUAGAAAAUGAAUUUUAAUGAAUGUUUUGAUGAUUUGGGUGCUAAAAUAGAUGAGAGAUGUCAAUAUUUUGGUCCAAAUGGAUGUUUUAGGUGGUUUUGGACUGUUCCGGAUGGGUGGGGGACCUGGUAUGGACAAGUAAGGGUAACAUUUCCAACAAAUCUUAAAUGUAAAUAUUAUUAUGUCCCUAGAUUGAAGUUUCAGGUGGAGAGCAAGAUGAAAAAUAUGCCAAAUUACAUGCAUGCAGCCCAUUUAUGCCAUUUUUCUCUUUGUUUGUAGGCCUGACCGUUUGUCCUUGAGCCGUAGAUGGUCAACAAUCCGCUAGCUGUCUUGCUCUGACUGGUGCACUGGACAUGAUUUCAAUAGUUAGCCAGACCAUGAUUGAGCUUAAGGAUUGUGCUGCGGAUGCAGCCUGUGCAGUUCCGGGAGAAAGUCACUGUCUUGGGCAAUGCGGUCUGGUAUCAGGUCUGGAUGAUCCUUGCCUGACUGCGGGUUUGUGUACACCUCAAUCCAACUCUGUGUCCUGAACAGAGGCCGCAGUGGUGCAGCGCUUGUGGACGAUCCAUCAACACCCUGAAAGGUCAACACUACACCAAGCUGGGAAAAUUGAUCCCGAUAGUCAUCCCCAGGUAGUGGAAUGAAUGUACACUGAACUACAGAGGAAUCACACCCAAAUGACUUUCCUGCCACGACAUUAGUGUGGCCACUCGCGUAGGAAUUCCUUAGCAAACGUGCUCUUUUGCAUGGUGACUUUGGGCAUUUUUGCAAAACUUACGCUUUCAACACUGGAUUUUAAAGAGAAUACUUAAUAAAAUGUCGCUAACAGGACUUAUUUAUAUGAGAGAGACUAUCUGGAUGCGCAUUAAGUGUCACUUUGUGUCGUAAGCUGUUGAAGGAGCGCUUUGCGCCUUUUUAAGUGUUAAUUUUGGGUAGCCGGCUUGUAUCGGCUUGAAAGCUGCAAAUUAUGCCUCUCAUCAUAAUAGCAUUAAUUUUUGUAAUUGCAAUGUGUAUGUUUAGAUUGUAAGUGAAGCUUUUAAUAAUAAUUUUCUUAAAAAACAUGAUUUUAUAUGCUGUCA
Molecule: long non-coding RNA, 1612 nt
Organism: Dreissena polymorpha
Lineage: Eukaryota; Metazoa; Mollusca; Bivalvia; Myida; Dreissenidae
Exons: 3
Source: RefSeq, a predicted model, not a curated record